CCUACGGGUGGCAGCAGUGGGGAAUAUUGGACAAUGGGCGAAAGCCUGAUCCAGCCAUGCCGCGUGUGUGAAGAAGGCCUUCGGGUUGUAAAGCACUUUCAGUGGGGAAGAAAGCCUUGGGGCUAAUACCCUCGAGGAAGGACAUCACCCACAGAAGAAGCACCGGCUAACUCCGUGCCAGCAGCCGCGGUAAUACGGAGGGUGCGAGCGUUAAUCGGAAUUACUGGGCGUAAAGCGCGCGUAGGCGGUCUGAUAAGCCGGUUGUGAAAGCCCCGGGCUCAACCUGGGAACGGCAUCCGGAACUGUCAGGCUAGAGUGCAGGAGAGGAAGGUAGAAGUCCCGGUGUAGCGGUGAAAUGCGUAGAGAUCGGGAGGAAUACCAGUGGCGAAGGCGGCCUUCUGGACUGACACUGACGCUGAGGUGCGAAAGCGUGGGUAGCAAACAGGAUUAGAUACCCCAUAGUC
This 464-nucleotide ribosomal RNA is filed under the name Vreelandella stevensii. RNAcentral describes it as "partial 16S ribosomal RNA". It matches the Rfam family "Bacterial small subunit ribosomal RNA", at positions 338 to 795 of the family's 1533-position model. The record is from RNAcentral. Lineage: Bacteria; Pseudomonadati; Pseudomonadota; Gammaproteobacteria; Oceanospirillales; Halomonadaceae.